AUGGUACAUAUGAGAUGCAACUUUGGUAGAUGGAUGAGCGGGAAGCCCAGAAAAACUUGCUUAACAGUUACCUACCAGGCUACCACCCACAUGAACAAUAUUGACGUCCUGCCCCACUUCCGGUCGUACAAUUUAAGGUUCUGGACUAAGCUAUUCGGGUGCAUGCAGUUCAGCACAUAUAUCAUCAACUCCAGUACUCCACAGUCCACACUACUCACUAAAUACUACCCCUCCAAAUCCCCUGUGUUUCCGCAAGAUACGGGAAGAUUGUUUCAAAAUUUCACUCAGAUCCAUCAAGACCUAAUCAACUAA
This 312-nucleotide ribosomal RNA is filed under the name Triticum aestivum (bread wheat). RNAcentral describes it as "partial small subunit ribosomal RNA". The record is from RNAcentral. Lineage: Eukaryota; Viridiplantae; Streptophyta; Magnoliopsida; Poales; Poaceae.